CCCUUGGAGCGUUAUAUCAAACAAAAGUAAUUAGUUGAUUUAUUUUAACGAUGAAAUUGGACGCGUUAAAUAGGGAA
Molecule: non-coding RNA, 77 nt
Filed under: unclassified sequences
Description: RAGATH-18 RNA
Rfam family: RAGATH-18 RNA
About the family: Actinobacteria, Firmicutes, Fusobacteria, Thermotogae (1 example). Nearby to self-cleaving ribozyme genes
Source: Rfam by way of RNAcentral